Manacus vitellinus (golden-collared manakin) is the source of this 289-nucleotide long non-coding RNA. RefSeq lists it as uncharacterized. The record is from RefSeq and is a predicted model, not a curated record. The transcript is spliced from 3 exons. Lineage: Eukaryota; Metazoa; Chordata; Aves; Passeriformes; Pipridae.
CGGCACUGAUGAAGGCAGUACAGCAGGAGCAGGAAGAAUGUGUUGCUAUUCUGCUGGAACACGGUGCCGAUCCGAAUCUGGCAGACGCUGGCGGCAACACUGCCCUUCACCUGGCUGUCCUGUCUAAAAAUACAGCUGUAGCAGGGCUGUUACUCGAGCAUAAUGCCAGUAGUGAUGCUCAGAACCAGAUGGGAUUUACUCCCUUAAAACUUGCAGCCCUCCUACAGCAUGAGGAGAUUCUGGAGUGCCUUCUGAAAAAAGCAGCGGACAGGCAUGCUCAAGCCCAAUU